RNAcentral lists this ribosomal RNA (253 nucleotides) under uncultured bacterium. Its description in RNAcentral is "partial 16S ribosomal RNA". It matches the Rfam family "Bacterial small subunit ribosomal RNA", at positions 524 to 776 of the family's 1533-position model. The record is from RNAcentral.
UACAGAGGGGGCAAGCGUUGUUCGGAAUUACUGGGCGUAAAGGGCGCGUAGGCGUCCGCCUAAGUCGGACGUGAAAUCCCUCGGCUCAACUGAGGAACUGCCUUUGAAACUGUCGGGCUUGAGGCCGGGAGGGGGUAGCGGAAUUCCCAGUGUAGCGGUGAAAUGCGUAGAUAUUGGGAGGAACACCGGUGGCGAAGGCGGCUACCUGGACCGGUUCUGACGCUGAUGCGCGCAAGCGUGGGUAGCAAACAGG